UCUCGUGCAGCGAAGAUUGGUUUUGGUUACUGCGUGAUGCGGACGUUUGCCGGAGAGCCGCGGCGGCGAGUCGGAGAAAAGGGACGAUGCGGCGCAACCGCACGACAUAGGUUUGGGCAUGAAGUGCGAUAUAUCCUUUUCCCGUCAGAUUCAUCUCUCCUUUUACCAUGUCUUGCAGACUUGCAGCGCAGACGGCAGUAGCACUAGAUGGCACAUCAAGAAACCUCAAGUGGGCGCGAAUCAGAAGUAGCCUGCGGCAGGACGACCUUGCAGGAUGUGUAGCUCAAGGAAUGCCUAUUAAACAGACCGCUGCUAGGACUGCUUGCAAUGAUUUUAACCUUUAAUAGACAAAUGCAAAUGGGCGGUCAGGCUUUGUAUCUGCUCCAAGGUUCCAUACAUCAGCAGGACUUGCUCCGUUUGGAUAUAAGCUCUAAACACGCAUGUUAGGGAAAUAUUACGACUGAUAUAGGACUUGGUAGAUUAUCAUGUAUUGAUGGAAGAUGGUGAAUGUAACUGUAUACUUUAUAUGUAGGACUAGGUAGAAUAUUAUAUUCUGAUGCUACAUUGUAAAUUGUCUACUCUUCAAAUACUCUUCAUGUA
Molecule: long non-coding RNA, 600 nt
Organism: Lolium perenne
Lineage: Eukaryota; Viridiplantae; Streptophyta; Magnoliopsida; Poales; Poaceae
Source: RefSeq, a predicted model, not a curated record